RNAcentral lists this ribosomal RNA (460 nucleotides) under uncultured bacterium. Its description in RNAcentral is "partial 16S ribosomal RNA". It matches the Rfam family "Bacterial small subunit ribosomal RNA", at positions 338 to 795 of the family's 1533-position model. The record is from RNAcentral.
CCUACGGGAGGCUGCAGUGAGGAAUAUUGGUCAAUGGACGAGAGUCUGAACCAGCCAAGUAGCGUGAAGGAUGACUGCCCUAUGGGUUGUAAACUUCUUUUAUAUGGGAAUAAAAUGUUCCACGUGUGGGAUUUUGUAUGUACCUUAUGAAUAAGGAUCGGCUAACUCCGUGCCAGCAGCCGCGGUAAUACGGAGGAUCCGAGCGUUAUCCGGAUUUAUUGGGUUUAAAGGGAGCGUAGGUGGAUUGUUAAGUCAGUUGUGAAAGUUUGCGGCUCAACCGUAAAAUUGCAGUUGAAACGGGCAGUCUUGAGUACAGGAGAGGUGGGCGGAAUUCGUGGUGUAGCGGUGAAAUGCUUAGAUAUCACGAAGAACUCCGAUUGCGAAGGCAGUUCACUGGACUGCAACUGACACUGAGGCACGAAAGUGUGGGUAUCAAACAGGAUUAGAUACCCGAGUAGUC